This 581-nucleotide ribosomal RNA is filed under the name uncultured bacterium. RNAcentral describes it as "bacterial SSU rRNA". It matches the Rfam family "Bacterial small subunit ribosomal RNA", at positions 102 to 679 of the family's 1533-position model. The record is from RNAcentral.
ACGGGUGAGUAAUGUCUGGGGAUCUGCCCGAUAGAGGGGGAUAACCACUGGAAACGGUGGCUAAUACCGCAUAACGUCGCAAGACCAAAGAGGGGGACCUUCGGGCCUCUCACUAUCGGAUGAACCCAGAUGGGAUUAGCUAGUAGGCGGGGUAAUGGCCCACCUAGGCGACGAUCCCUAGCUGGUCUGAGAGGAUGACCAGCCACACUGGAACUGAGACACGGUCCAGACUCCUACGGGAGGCAGCAGUGGGGAAUAUUGCACAAUGGGCGCAAGCCUGAUGCAGCCAUGCCGCGUGUAUGAAGAAGGCCUUCGGGUUGUAAAGUACUUUCAGCGGGGAGGAAGGCAGUGAGGUUAAUAACCUUACUGAUUGACGUUACCCGCAGAAGAAGCACCGGCUAACUCCGUGCCAGCAGCCGCGGUAAUACGGAGGGUGCAAGCGUUAAUCGGAAUUACUGGGCGUAAAGCGCACGCAGGCGGUCUGUUAAGUCAGAUGUGAAAUCCCCGGGCUUAACCUGGGAACUGCAUUUGAAACUGGCAGGCUUGAGUCUCGUAGAGGGGGGUAGAAUUCCAGGUGUAGC